Molecule: ribosomal RNA, 365 nt
Filed under: Apodileptus visscheri
Lineage: Eukaryota; Ciliophora; Litostomatea; Haptorida; Dileptidae
Description: partial small subunit ribosomal RNA
Rfam family: Eukaryotic small subunit ribosomal RNA
Source: RNAcentral
GCUUGUCUCAAAGAUUAAGCCAUGCAUGUCUAAGUAUAAGCCUUUAUAUGGUGAGACUGCGAAUGGCUCAUUAAAUCAGAAACUGUUUAUUUGAUAGUGCCUACUACAUGGAUACCUGUAGUAAUUCUAGAGCUAAUACAUGCCAUAACCGUAAGGUUGUAUUUAUUAGAUAUUCCUGGUAGGUGAUUCAUAAUAACUUAGCGAAUCGUGACUCGUUCACGAUAAAUCAUUCAAGUUUCUGCCCUAUCAUGCUUUCGAUGGUAGUGUAUUGGACUACCAUGGCUCUCACGGGUAACGGAGAAUUAGGGUUCGAUUCCGGAGAAGGAGCCUGAGAAACGGCUACUACAUCUAAGGAAGGCAGCAGG